GAUGAACGCUGGCGGCGUGCCUAAUACAUGCCAGUCGAGCGAACGGACGAGAAGCUUUCUUCUCUGAUGUUAGCGGCGGACGGGAGCUUCACACGUGGAUAACCUAACUCUAAGACUGGGAUACCUUUGGCAAACCAUAGCUACUACCGAAUAAUAUAUUGCCCUUGGUUGUUCCCAAGUUAAAGUCGGUCUUUCUUACGCUAAUAGACGACCCCGCCCUCGAUUAGUUAGUGGGUGAGGUAACGGCUUAGCAAGGCAACGACGCAUACCCGACCCGAGAGGGAGGUCCGCCACACUGGAACUGAGACACGGUCCCGACUCCUGGGGGGGGCCACAGUCGGGACUCUUCCGCAAGGGAGCAAAGCGUAAUAGAGGAAAGCGGCGUAAAGGAUGAUGGACUUCGGAUGGGUAAACUAUGUUAGUAGGAAAGAUGAAAUGCUCUUGUAACUGUGAUCAUCAUGACGGUACCUAAAGAAAAAGCUCCGGCUAACUACGUG
This 497-nucleotide ribosomal RNA is filed under the name uncultured bacterium. Its description in RNAcentral is "partial 16S ribosomal RNA". It matches the Rfam family "Bacterial small subunit ribosomal RNA", at positions 28 to 507 of the family's 1533-position model. The record is from RNAcentral.